RNAcentral lists this ribosomal RNA (253 nucleotides) under uncultured bacterium. RNAcentral's name for it is "partial 16S ribosomal RNA". It matches the Rfam family "Bacterial small subunit ribosomal RNA", at positions 524 to 776 of the family's 1533-position model. The record is from RNAcentral.
UACGUAGGAGGCAAGCGUUGUCCGGAAUUACUGGGUGUAAAGCGCGUGUAGGCGGCAGGCCAAGUCUGUGGUGAAAUCGCUCGGCUCAACUGGGCGGGGUCCAUGGAAACUGGUCAGCUGGAGGACGGUAGAGGUGAGUGGAAUUCCCGGUGUAGUGGUGAAAUUCGUAGAUAUUCGCAAGAACACCAGUGGCGAAGGCGGCUCACUGGCCCGGUACUGACGCUGAGGUGCGAAAGCAUGGGGAGCGAACAGG